RNAcentral lists this long non-coding RNA (316 nucleotides) under Bos taurus (domestic cattle). RNAcentral's name for it is "long non-coding RNA NONBTAT009267". Lineage: Eukaryota; Metazoa; Chordata; Mammalia; Artiodactyla; Bovidae. The record is from RNAcentral.
GAGUAUGAAAAUGGCCAGUCUGUUUUCAGAUCAUGUAAUCUUUUUAAAAUAGGUAAGCAUUUCUUUUAGCAAUAGAUAUAUUUCCCUGAAAAGCAUACACAUAAAUGAAACUGUUUUAGUUGUACCUAGAAAAGAUAGGCAUUUGGGGCAGAUAACUUAAGGAAGGAUUAUUUAUUUAACUUUAAAUGAUCUUUCUUUAUCUGUUUGUUAUUUCACAUUAUCAUAAAUUGAGUUUGCCUAAAAUAGGGAAAACCUAGGCUAUAGAUGUUUGAUAACUAAUAAAUAAUUUCUGUGCAAGGGACUUAUCUCUUUAUUG